GGUGAGAUGGCCGAGUUGGUUAUGGCGCCAGGUUAAGGUUUCUCUUAACAUUAAUUCCUGGUCACGAAAGUGGCGUGGGUUCGAGUCCCACUCUCAUCA
RNAcentral lists this transfer RNA (99 nucleotides) under Massarina eburnea CBS 473.64. It matches the Rfam family "tRNA". From Rfam's summary of the family: Transfer RNA (tRNA) molecules are approximately 80 nucleotides in length. Their secondary structure includes four short double-helical elements and three loops (D, anti-codon, and T loops). Further hydrogen bonds mediate the characteristic L-shaped molecular structure. tRNAs have two regions of fundamental functional importance: the anti-codon, which is responsible for specific mRNA codon recognition, and the 3' end, to which the tRNAs corresponding amino acid is attached (by aminoacyl-tRNA synthetases). tRNAs cope with the degeneracy of the genetic code in two manners: having more than one tRNA (with a specific anti-codon) for a particular amino acid; and 'wobble' base-pairing, i.e. permitting non-standard base-pairing at the 3rd anti-codon position. Lineage: Eukaryota; Fungi; Ascomycota; Dothideomycetes; Pleosporales; Massarinaceae. The record is from Rfam by way of RNAcentral.